GGCUACAGGACGAACGCUGGCGGCGCGCCUAACACAUGCAAGUCGAACGAGCAAAGAGGAGCUUGCUUCUCUGAGCGAGUGGUGAACGGGUGAGUAACGCGUGAGGAACCUGCCUCAAAGAGGGGGACAACAGUUGGAAACGACUGCUAAUACCGCAUAAGCCCACAGCUCGGCAUCGAGCAGAGGGAAAAGGAGCAAUCCGCUUUGAGAUGGCCUCGCGUCCGAUUAGCUAGUUGGUGAGGUAAUGGCCCACCAAGGCGACGAUCGGUAGCCGGACUGAGAGGUUGAACGGCCACAUUGGGACUGAGACACGGCCCAGACUCCUACGGGAGGCAGCAGUGGGGAAUAUUGCACAAUGGGGGAAACCCUGAUGCAGCGACGCCGCGUGGAGGAAGAAGGUCUUCGGAUUGUAAACUCCUGUUGUUGAGGAAGAUGAUGACGGUACUCAACAAGGAAGUGACGGCUAACUACGUG
This 474-nucleotide ribosomal RNA is filed under the name uncultured bacterium. RNAcentral describes it as "bacterial SSU rRNA". It matches the Rfam family "Bacterial small subunit ribosomal RNA", at positions 26 to 507 of the family's 1533-position model. The record is from RNAcentral.